RNAcentral lists this long non-coding RNA (2317 nucleotides) under Nicotiana tabacum (common tobacco). RNAcentral describes it as "long non-coding RNA (NTAB_LNC018155)". The record is from RNAcentral. Lineage: Eukaryota; Viridiplantae; Streptophyta; Magnoliopsida; Solanales; Solanaceae.
GCAAACUACGAUUUUCAAGUUAAUUAUUUUCCUAAAAUUUGAAAUUACAUGGGAGAGUUCAACUAUUAUGGAAUGGAUUAUUGUCAACAAAAUAUACAUUUAAUUAAGCUAAGUUCAAGUUAUUGAUGAUUUGUGACUCACUGGAAAUUUGGAUUUAAUUACGUGUUUGAUAAUGUUUUGGAGAAACUCAAUUUUAAGAGAGGCGGUCAUUUAAUGGUGAAGGGGAAAAUCUAGCAAGGUGCUCACAUGUUGCCUUAUGAAUCAGACAAGAAGGGCGGAUGGGCUUAAGUUGAAGCCCAUUACGUGAAAGCAUUUCUGAUGUAACAGGCCCUCCUGCGUAUGAAAUUACAGGCUUCUAAAUGGGCUUAUAACUGAGCCCAAACAUGUAUUUAGGUUCAAAGUCUUUAAGACUCCAAUCCGAUAGUAUAACCUCUCAUGGGCCAAUUUUUCAGGCCUAAUAACUAUUCAACUUGGCAUUAACACAUGAUUCUCAUAAGAAAUUAACUAUUUCAAACAUUAAUACUGAUCGUCCAAACUCUAACAUUACAAUAAAAUAAUUUUGAGUUUUGGUUCACAAUAACAAACCACUUCUAUGAAGUAAUAUUCUCCACUUCUGAAACUAAACUGUGUAACAAACAAAAUUGAAACAACCAGACUUGUGACUCUUAUGCCUUUGAUUUUAACCUGAAUUCAACACAUAAUCUCUAUCCUCAUAUAUUAAGAGUGUCAGCAGUAGGCAGAUUAAAUCCAAACUUCAUGAAUUCACUAAAUGCUCGACUAACAACAUCAUGAGAUGUUCAAAUGUGCGAUAUGUUGACUACCUAGCAUGCCUCAUUAGGAAACAUGACUGUCAGUAGCAAAAUGACCAGUUUGUGAGUGAUUUCACUCUAAGUUUAAGCUAAAUAGCCAAUCAAACAGAAAUAGGUAACAAUGGAGAAAUAUAGGUAAUAUAAUUUUGGUAAACAAACAAAGUCAUGAAGAAAAUCAAACACAUAUUGUAGCAAUGAUUCAAAUUUUAUUACAAACCAACAGAAAAUUAACUUUUUUGACAAAUCAGAGACUUGAAUUCAUGAUUCAGUAUUUGGUGUGUAGAAAACAGCUUAGAAAAUGCCAAAUAAAUAUUUAGUGAAAGAAAUUUGAAGCUCAGCAAACAGCUCCAGUAACGAUCAGCAGUGAACAACUCUUUCAAGCACAAAAUAGUCUUCUAAAUCCUAGAAGGUAUGGAGUAAUGAACAGAAAUUGAAAGCAACUUUUGAAACUCUUUUUUUGGGUAGUUUUUGUUUAAAUUUCUAAAGUUUGGUUCUUCAGAUCUGAAAUUUUAUGUUCUCAAAUUUCAGACCUCUUUCUAAACGUGUGAGAGAGAGAGUGAGUGAAUGGAGAGUGAGUCUGUGAAUGCCUGUGAGUGUAGAAUGUGUGUCUGAGGUAUGCAAAAAUGAGAGAAUUUAUAGAAAAUGGCAGGCCUAAAUUUGGAGGAAAAAAACAUCUUUUGUAAUAGAUUAUUUUUACAGUUGUGCCUUCUGUUAUUUCUCUUUCCUUCUUAGUCCUUUUCUUUUCUGUAUUUACUCCUUUUAGCCCCAAAUCCCACGACCUCCCUCUUUUCUUUAUCAUUUUAUUGAUAUUUGAUCCCUUUCCACACUCUUGUAGAACUUUCCAGUCAAUUAUAUGAAAGAUUCUCUCAAUUUAAUCUCCCAAAUGCCCUUUUAAACUCUAGUUAUUUACCUAAGGUCGUGAUUUCAUGGACCUGAGGUCAUGUGACCUUAGGUCAAAGGCCUAUAGACUUAACUUGAACUCCCAUUCCCCAUUAUCCCAUAUUUCAAUUUGAUAAGCCUAACCAAAUCACACAAAAUGAGGCCCAUUCCUAAACUAAAAUCAAGCGGACGGACUGAACCAGUACUCAUGUUCAAAUGAAAUCAGCAAACAUCAAUUAAUAAUCAAACAAAAUCUAAGACCUAAUUUGAACCUAUAAUUAACUUUAAUCUAAAUAUACAAUAUAAGAUUCAUUAGCUAAUCAAGCAAUCCAUCAACAUUUGAAAUUAAUUAAUAAUUAACAACAGAUAAUUAUCUAUUAUAUACCUAAACAUUUUGAAGAGAAAGGUUACCCCUUGAACGAAUCCUAGCCGGAGCACAAAUUCCAGCAGGCAAUGGCCAGUGCCCCGUGGCAACAAGUUUGAGCUUAGAAGCCCAUCAUGUGAUGCAUGAAAUAUUGUCCAUCGUAAGUCGGAAGAAGACGAUGAAGCGGACUGGUGAUUGAGGUGGUCAACGGUGCUUAACCGUUCACUGGCGACCGCGAACUAUCAUAAAACUGACACAAAAUGAC